This 253-nucleotide ribosomal RNA is filed under the name uncultured bacterium. Its description in RNAcentral is "partial 16S ribosomal RNA". It matches the Rfam family "Bacterial small subunit ribosomal RNA", at positions 524 to 776 of the family's 1533-position model. The record is from RNAcentral.
UACGUAGGGUGCAAGCGUUAAUCGGAAUUACUGGGCGUAAAGCGUGCGCAGGCGGUUGUGCAAGACAGAUGUGAAAUCCCCGGGCUCAACCUGGGAAUUGCAUUUGUGACUGCACGGCUAGAGUGUGUCAGAGGGGGGUAGAAUUCCACGUGUAGCAGUGAAAUGCGUAGAGAUGUGGAGGAAUACCGAUGGCGAAGGCAGCCCCCUGGGAUAACACUGACGCUCAUGCACGGAAGCGUGGGGAGCAAACAGG